GGUUAAAAUUACCCCCCUUGAAGAAAUAGAUGUUGUUGAAGUAGCUGAGCCCCGUUUGCUUAGGUUUUUCAAUAUUUCCUUCUUGGCCUUCUCCAUCAGCAAAUGCUUGACAUCAUUGUAGGAUGCCUCCCUUUCAUUACCCAGCUGGUUAACGACAUUCAACUUAACCCUUUCUCCAUUACCCCGUCCAACAUCAGCUGGACUUGCUGUGCUGCCUCCAUCAGAUUCCCAGCUAUGCCUAAGCCUACUUGUACUGGGGUCAUUUAUGCCUUUUUUCCUCUUGAAAGCAUUAAACUGUCCAGCUGAUAAAGCUGCACUUGGUCGUUUGGACGAAUGAUUUUUCCUUUUCAAUGCUUCCUCUCUUUUCGUUGCU
This 373-nucleotide unclassified non-coding RNA is filed under the name Hevea brasiliensis (rubber tree). Lineage: Eukaryota; Viridiplantae; Streptophyta; Magnoliopsida; Malpighiales; Euphorbiaceae. The record is from RNAcentral.